UCCGCCCCCGCGGUGGGAAAAGUGGGCGCCGGCGGCUGCUUCCCAGCCCUGCUGAACCGAAAGUUCUGGGUUUCAGCGGGAGAUGGGGGCGCGCCACCGCGACCAGGUGCAGGAGAGGAGGCCACUUCGCACAGAAUCAGCAACUGUCCAAUGGUCUGGCCCGCACAGCAGGAGUUAUUGAACAGGAGAAUCUGGAACCAGGAGUGAGCAGAGCUGGCCCCAGGCCUUGGUGGCUGUGUACUAGUUCUGUGACCUGCAAUCAGUCACUUAACUUCUGUGAGCUCCUCUCUUUCCGUCUGUAAAAAAGGAAUAUGUACUACCCACUUCCUGAGUAGAUGUUGAAGAUGUUGUAAAAGGUUCGAGUCAACCAAUUAAAAGCAAUAGAUCACAUGAAGAUGAGUAUAUCUUCUGUUUGUUGGGACAUAAUCCAGAGAGGAUCUUUCUCCCCAGAUAUUAUGGGAUGGCCACAUUUUACAGCUGAGAGUGACAAGGCUUAGAAACUAAACAUAUAAGGUCCUGCCCCAUCUCCUGGAAGAAGGAAUGCUACACAGAGAGGCUAAGAAGACUCUGGACAGUGCAGAAUCUGGAGCUAGAGAAAAAUUUAAAAAGCCACAAGGAUGUGAAUUGCUGAGCCUGAGAUAGAAGAGGUAGGGAAAAAAAACAUAAGAACCUGCUUGUCUUCUGUUGAGUUAAAACGAACUAUUUUUUAAAAUAGUGUGAAAUAAAGGAAAUGAGAGACAUAUUAAGGAUAUGCUACAGUGAAUGUAGAGACAA
This 774-nucleotide long non-coding RNA is filed under the name Homo sapiens (human). Its description in RNAcentral is "HSALNT0359933". Lineage: Eukaryota; Metazoa; Chordata; Mammalia; Primates; Hominidae. The record is from RNAcentral.